RNAcentral lists this ribosomal RNA (821 nucleotides) under uncultured Flavobacteriia bacterium. Its description in RNAcentral is "bacterial SSU rRNA". It matches the Rfam family "Bacterial small subunit ribosomal RNA", at positions 70 to 885 of the family's 1533-position model. Lineage: Bacteria; Pseudomonadati; Bacteroidota; Flavobacteriia. The record is from RNAcentral.
CAGCAGGGUUGUAGCAAUACAAUCGCUGGCGACCGGCAAACGGGUGCGGAACACGUACGCAACCUUCCUUUAAGUGGAGGAUAGCCCGGGGAAACCCGGAUUAAUACUCCGUAACAUUAUGAAGUGGCAUCAUUUUAUAAUUAUAGCUCCGGCGCUUAAAGAUGGGCGUGCGUCUGAUUAGGUAGUUGGCGGGGUAACGGCCCACCAAGCCUACGAUCAGUAACUGGUGUGAGAGCACGACCAGUCACACGGGCACUGAGACACGGGCCCGACUCCUACGGGAGGCAGCAGUAAGGAAUAUUGGUCAAUGGACGCAAGUCUGAACCAGCCAUGCCGCGUGGAGGAUGAAGGUCCUCUGGAUUGUAAACUUCUUUUAUCUGGGAAGAAACCCACGGUUUCUACUGUGGUUGACGGUACCAGAUGAAUAAGCACCGGCUAACUCCGUGCCAGCAGCCGCGGUAAUACGGAGGGUGCAAGCGUUAUCCGGAUUCACUGGGUUUAAAGGGUGCGUAGGCGGGCAGGUAAGUCAGUGGUGAAAUCUCCGGGCUUAACCCGGAAACUGCCGUUGAUACUAUCUGUCUUGAAUAUCGUGGAGGUGAGCGGAAUAUGUCAUGUAGCGGUGAAAUGCUUAGAUAUGACAUAGAACACCAAUUGCGAAGGCAGCUCGCUACACGGUUAUUGACGCUGAGGCACGAAAGCGUGGGGAUCAAACAGGAUUAGAUACCCUGGUAGUCCACGCCCUAAACGAUGAUUACUCGACAUCAGCGAUACACUGUUGGUGUCUGAGCGAAAGCAUUAAGUAAUCCACCUGGGAAGUACGA